Dama dama (fallow deer) is the source of this 127-nucleotide small nucleolar RNA. RefSeq annotates it as small nucleolar RNA U109. The record is from RefSeq and is a predicted model, not a curated record. Lineage: Eukaryota; Metazoa; Chordata; Mammalia; Artiodactyla; Cervidae. The transcript has a single exon.
CUGCAUGUGAAUGUCGGCUCCUCAUUCCUCUGCAAGAUGGAAUCUAUAACAUGCUAGAAUAAUAAAGGAGUUCUCAGGGCUGGCAAUGUUUCAGUAGCCGUUGAGUAGUACUGUUUCUCCUACAUUA